This 765-nucleotide long non-coding RNA is filed under the name Salvia miltiorrhiza (redroot sage). Its description in RNAcentral is "long non-coding RNA (SMIL_LNC012065)". Lineage: Eukaryota; Viridiplantae; Streptophyta; Magnoliopsida; Lamiales; Lamiaceae. The record is from RNAcentral.
AAAAAAAUAAUUAUGUUUUGAUUCGAUGCCUUUGAUUUAAUUUAGUAUCUGUUAAUUGUUGCCAGUCAUUAUGAUCGUACACUAUAUUAAUAUUCUUUAGAGAGAGAGAGAGAUAAAAUAAGAGUAUGAUUGAGACAGAGAUGUAGCCGCUAUCAUCAUAUUCAUAUAACAUUAAUAAUGAGUCUUCCUUUUGUCUGUGUGAUUGAGGCGGUGUCUGCUGCUUUAAUUGUGUGAAUUUAAUUAUAAAUGUGUAUCGCAAGUCGAUUGUAUUAUUUGUAGAUUAGGGUGAAGAUGGGUGGAAAAAUGGCGGAUUUAGAGUUUGUGAUAGCAAUGGCAAUCAUAUUUGGUGCAUUGAAUUCAAAUUUGAUUGAAGGAAGAAGUAUGUUGUGUCAGAACCGGGUACACGAUCAAGAUAUUACAAAAUAAUAUUUUGAGAAAUUACAACUCAAAAUAAUUGAAAUAUUACAAAGUAAAUAAUUUGAGAAAUUACAACUCAAAUAAUUUGAUACAACUGAAAUACACUGUAUAAAUAAAUUAUACGUAUAAACAAAAUCGAGUCGAGAUGAAUCUCUUCCCGCAAGAAGAUUAUCGCCCCGGUAGUGCUCUUCGGUUUGGCGUAUCUUCCCCAAAGGUAAAACGACUACGUCUCGGCGGAUGUAGCACCACAAUCCGGCGAGCUCCGGCGAACUGAAUAAGGAUCGAAAACUGAGCUAGAGGUGGAAUGCAGAAUGCAGACUAUUUUGUGAGUUGUGAGUUGUGAGUUUU